AGGGCGCCUGUGCUUGAGGUUGGGGGUUGCGUCGCUCUCUGGUAAAGGCGUGCAGGUGUUGGCCGCGGCCUCUGAGCUGGGAUGAGCCGUGCUCCCGGUGGAAGCAAGGGAGCCCAGCCGGAGCCAUGGCCGUUACGUUUUGCAAGCCAUGAAGCAUAUGGAGCCUCAAGUAAAACAAGUUUUUCAAAGCCUACCAAAAUCUGUAAGACUUUGUUAAUUCUUUGCUGCUUCUAUUUGAAACCUAGAGCCACACUUAGGGAAGGGUAAAUUUCCAAAUAUCCAUGAAGUUCUAAGUGAUUGCUUUGGACCCAUUCUCCUGCUUCCUGCAAGGAGAGUAUAGAAGUUCUGAACUUUGUGAUGGUGCUACCCUGAAACAUCAGAUGUUAUAUGUGACAGAGUUGGAUAGGGUUUUGACAAUUCUAGUACCCCACUAGACCCAAGUUUCACUUUUUCACAUACCAUCACCUUCAGCAUCAUCUGUACAUAUUCUUGUUUUCCUUCAUCUGCUCUGCAUCGCACACGCAGAGGUAUAUGAUUCUAAAGUGAUCCGAUCUUACCAUGUGGCCCUGGCACUCCCAAACAUCAUACAUAGGUAGCACUCUAGUUAAUUAGGCUAUAGGGUUUGGCUUGAUGUUAUGGUCAUACUCUCUGUGGUCACAGUUAAGAAUAGAUUUGGCUGUGAUCACCUGUUGAAUAUGUUGUGAUUAAGGGUAACAGAAUAGAGUGAUUGUAGGCUUUACCAAUAUGAUUUCUGACAUGGCAAGGUCAGAGGACCUAAUAGUGGUAUUUUCUGUAUAUAUAUCUUAAAGUCUUGUUUCAAAUACACUUGAACCUCUUGUCUCAAAAGACUUCUGUUCUUGAGCCACUUCUUGCAGAUUUUUAUCUAGAAUAUGGCUAAUUUGGAAUGAUCUUUCCCGGAAGACCUGGCUUUCAGACACUGUUAUUUUGUCUUAUAUUUCUAAGAUAGUUCAUAUUGACUGGAAAAAAAUGAAUCUGUUUAAUGAUCAUUAAAAUACUACUUGUUGCUACUUAUUUAUAAACUUUAUUCAGCUUUAGCUAAAAUACCUCGGGAAUUGCACUUAAAGUCCUCUGAAAUGUCUUAGUUUUUCUUAGUUCUGUGAAUAUUUCCAGACUUCUUUUUUAAAGCAACUUUAUUAACCUUUCUUUACAAAUGCAUUUCUUCUUUCAGGCCUUCAGUGGUGGCUAUUAUAGAGGUGGGUUUGAACCCAAAAUGACAAAACGGGAAGCAGCAUUAAUACUAGGUGUAAGGUAAAAUAAUCUCUAAUAUUUUUAGCAUUUUUCUACCACUGUAGAGCCAUGAGGAAAUAUAAGAAAGACCUUCUCUCCUUUAAUAGGAGAGGGUCAUGGGGGAUUUUGUCCUAGGAAGAUUGAUAUUACCAAUUCUAAUCAAUGAAACUGUACUGUUCCUUCAUGUUAUUUUUAAGAUGUAAACAAUCCUUCAAAUGAGAAGGCACACUAGCACUUAAGCACUUUUUCUUUUUUCCUAGAGUGUUUACUAAAACACAGGCACUUUUUCAUUUAUUUAAAGAUAGACUCCUCAGCAGAUUAUCACAGUGUUCAGUGUUGUUCUCUGUAACUGACAUUUUUUUUGUGGUG
Molecule: small RNA, 1617 nt
Filed under: Pan troglodytes (chimpanzee)
Lineage: Eukaryota; Metazoa; Chordata; Mammalia; Primates; Hominidae
Description: retained intron
Source: RNAcentral